AUGGUUUUCUCGAUUGUUGACAUGCCUGGGCCGGUUUCUGACAUGGGGGUCAGUAGAAGUGUGGGAUUGGCAGCUGUGGAGGUGCGACUGGAGGCCUUCUCAGACAACAGCGGCAAGCUGCAGCUCUCCCUGCAGGAAAUCAUCGAAUGGCUGACGGCCAAAGACGAGGAGCUGUCCGAGCAGCUGCCCAUAGGGGGCGACGUGGGGGCGGUGCAGCACCAGCGGGAGUUCCAUCAGGCCUUCAUGGAGGAUGUAAAGUCCAGGGGACCAUUCAUCUACUCGGUGUUGGAGUCUGCCCAGGCCUUCCUGGCCCAGCAUCCUUUCCAGGAGCCUGAGGAGACGCUGCCAGAUGGCAAAGAGGUGUCGCCGAGGCGGCGAAUGUUGAACGUGAGCCGCUCGGUGUGGAAGCAGGCCAACGUGGCCAGCGAUCUGUGGGAGAAGCUGACGGCACGCUGUGUGGACCGGCACCGGCACAUGGAGCGUACACUGGAGAGGCUGCUGCAGGUCCAGGCAGCGAUGGAGGAGCUGGCUGGAGCUCUGGAGCAGGCUGAAGGAGUGAGGGAUGCCUGGGAACCUGUGGGAGAUCUCUUCAUCGACUCACUGCAGGACCACAUAGAUGCCACCAAGCUGUUUAAGGAGGAGUUGUCUCAAGUCAAGGAGGGCAUGAAGCACAUCAAUGACCUCGCCCACCAGCUAGCCAUCUCCGACGUGCACUUGUCUAUGGAGAACGCCCGCGCCCUGGAGCAUCUCAACAGCAGAUGGAAGCUGCUGCAGGGUUCCAUUGAAGAGCGCCUGAAGCAGCUGCAGGAUGCCCACAGAGAUUUUGGCCCCGGAUCACAGCACUUUCUCUCCAGUAAGAGAGCUAUCACGCUCGGGCUUGCACCGGGCCGCCCGCUCCAUCAGGCCCAGACCACCUGCUGGGAUCAUCCAAAGAUGACAGAAUUGUACCAGGCUCUGGCGGACCUGAACAAUAUCAAGUUCUCUGCGUACCGGACGGCGAUGAAGCUGCGGCGAGUGCAGAAAGCUCUGAGAUUGGACCUGCUGAAGCUGACCAGUGUGACGGACGUGUUCCGGGAGCAGGAGCUGCAGCACGGCGAGUACGUGAUGGACGUGGUGGAGGUGAUCCAUGCCCUGACCGCUCUGUAUGAAAGACUGGAGGAGGAGAGAUCUGUACUCAUCAACAUCCCUCUCUGUGUGGACAUGUGCCUCAACUGGCUGCUCAACGUCUAUGACAGCGGCCGGAACGGUAAGAUGCGGGUGCUCUCCUUCAAGACGGGGGUGGUGAGCCUAUGCAAUGCAGAUGUGCAGGAGAAAUACAGAUAUUUGUUCAGACAGGUGUGUGGUCCAAACGGACUGACGGAUCAGAAGCACCUCAGUCUGCUGCUCCAUGAAGUUAUUCAGAUCCCUCGCCAGCUGGGUGAGGUAGCAGCCUUCGGGGGGAGCAACGUGGAGCCCAGCGUCCGGAGCUGCUUCCGCAUGGCCCCGGGGAAACCAGCUAUCGAGGUUUCUCACUUUCUGGAGUGGAUGAGUUUGGAGCCGCAGUCGGUGGUGUGGUUGCCUGUCCUGCACCGCGUGACGGCGGCCGAAUCUGCCAAGCACCAGGCGCGCUGCUACAUCUGUAAACAAUGCCCCAUCAAGGGCUUCAGGUACCGAAGUCUGAAACAGUUUAACGUAGACAUCUGCCAGAUGUGUUUCCUGACCGGACGAACAACCAAAGGCAAAAGGCUACACUACCCCAUAAUGGAGUACUACACCCCGAACUGGAAAAUAUUUCCAAACAGAAGCUCAAGUUUAAGCAAUCCAUAUUACAGUAAUAACUACUCAAGUAAGCUGGCAGAAAUGGAAAGCCAGAGUUGCUCCUUCUUCACUGACAGCCUCUCUCCUGAUGAAAGUCUGGAUGAAGAUCAGUACCUCCUGCGUCACUCCAGCCCCGCCCUGGAACAGGACUCUCCGCCCGGGCCACACCUCCUCGCCCACCUCGACUGCCACAACAAGGAGGAGCUGCAGCGAACGCUGGCACGGCUGGAGAACGAGAACAGGAUGCUGCAGGGCGAGUACCGGCGGCUGAAGUGGAAGCACGAGGAGGCGGCGGCAGCUCCGCAGCUGGUGGAGGGCGGCGCGGGAUCGCCGGCGGGUCAGCAGGACGAGGAGCUCCUGGCCGAAGCUCGAGUCCUGCGGCAGCACAAGACCCGCCUGGAGACCCGCAUGCAGAUCCUGGAGGACCACAACAAGCAGCUGGAGUCGCAGCUCUGCCGGCUCCGGGAGCUGCUGCUGCAGGUGGGUGCUUAUCGCUUUCGUUUGCGAUAUUUAAUCAAUCAAUCAAUAAAUCAACCUUUAUUUCCACUCGAUAAAUACAUUGAGGGUAACCCUCAUUUUCAAUGCAGCCGAGCUUACAUAAAAUUAAAGGGAUUGAAAAAUAAGUUUAAAUUAUGAAAACAAGCAAAGAAUGUAAGAUUUAAUUAAGAAGAAAUUAAAUAAUUCAAAAUAUAAUGAGACAGGCUACAAUGUAAAACAAUAAAACAAAGAGAUAAAUAAAUAAUUUAGUACA
This 2548-nucleotide long non-coding RNA is filed under the name Astyanax mexicanus (Mexican tetra). RNAcentral describes it as "lncRNA (ENSAMXG00005003106.1)". Lineage: Eukaryota; Metazoa; Chordata; Actinopteri; Characiformes; Acestrorhamphidae. The record is from RNAcentral.